RNAcentral lists this transfer RNA (70 nucleotides) under Dipodomys ordii (Ord's kangaroo rat). It matches the Rfam family "tRNA". From Rfam's summary of the family: Transfer RNA (tRNA) molecules are approximately 80 nucleotides in length. Their secondary structure includes four short double-helical elements and three loops (D, anti-codon, and T loops). Lineage: Eukaryota; Metazoa; Chordata; Mammalia; Rodentia; Heteromyidae. The record is from Rfam by way of RNAcentral.
GGGAAAGUAGCUCAGUAGUAGAGUGCUUGCCUUGCAUGCAUGAGGCCCUGGGUUCAAUUCCUCAGCACCA